ACUAAAGAUUUCCGUGGAGAGGAACA
RNAcentral lists this non-coding RNA (26 nucleotides) under Drosophila melanogaster (fruit fly). RNAcentral also lists the same sequence under 5 other names. Lineage: Eukaryota; Metazoa; Arthropoda; Insecta; Diptera; Drosophilidae. The record is from RNAcentral.